Molecule: long non-coding RNA, 9667 nt
Filed under: Homo sapiens (human)
Lineage: Eukaryota; Metazoa; Chordata; Mammalia; Primates; Hominidae
Description: HSALNT0409365
Source: RNAcentral
AGAUGGAGCCUCACUCUGACACCUAGACCAGAGGGCAGUGAUGCAAUCCCGGCUCACUGCAACCUCCACCUCCCAGGUUCAAGCAAUUCUCCUGCCUCAGCCUCCUUAGUAGCUGGGAUUACAGCUGCAUGGCACCAUGCUCAGCUAAUUUUUGUAUUUUUAUUAGAGAUGGGGUCUCUACAUUGCCAGGCUGGUUUCGAACUCUUGACCUCAGGUGAGCCGCCCACCUCAGCCUCCCAAAGUGCUGGGAUUACAGGCAUGAGCCACUGUGCCCGACCCUGUUUUACUUUUUAUAUUUUAAUUGCAAGUUUGUUUGGAGUUUAUUCUUAUGUUCAGUCUAAGACAUGAAGGUAAUUUUGUCAUUUUCCAAAUGGAUCCCUUGUUGCACAAGAAGUAUUCAUCUACUUUUAACCCAAGUAUUUUAGCUGCCUCUUAUAUUUUCAUAUGUACUUUAGUCUAUUUGGGUUUAUAAUUUUUCUUAUUUUAAAUUUUUUAUAGGUUUAGGGCAUACAAGUGCAGUUUUGUUACAUAAACAUAUUAGAUAUAAUAACGUUUGGGCUUUUAGUGUACCCAUCACCUCAAUAGUGUACAUUGUAUACAGUAGGUAACUUCUCAUCCCUUACUUCCCUCCCACUUGCCCACCUUUCUGAUUCUCCUAUGCCAAUCAUUACACACUCUAUGUCCAUGUGUACACAUUAUUUAGCGCCCACUUAUACGUAAAAAUGUAGUAUUUGACUUUCUGUUUCUCAGUUAUUUCACUUAGCCUCCAGUUCCAUCUGCCCUGCUGCAAAAAGAUAUUUCAUUCUUUUUUUAUGGCUCGGCAUUUUUCCAUGGUAUAUUUGUAGAUUUUUUUAUUCAGUCAUCCAUUGAUGAACACUUAGUUUGGUUUCACAUCUUUGCUACUGUGAAUGGUGCUGUGAUAAGCAUACAAGUGCAGUAUCUUUUUGAUAUAAUUAUUUAUAUUCCUUUGGGUGGAUAUUCAGUAAUAAGAUGACUGGAUCAAAUUUUAGUUUUAUUUUUAGAUCUUUGAGAUAUUGCCAUAUGGUUUUCCAUAGAGGUUGUAAAAAUAUACAUUCCCACCAAGAGUAUAUAAGCAUUCUCUUUUCUCCAAAUUCUCACCAACAUUUGUUAUUCUUUGACUUUUUAAUAAUACUGAUUCUGACUGGUGGAAGAUAGUAUCUUGUUGUGAUUUUAAUUUUUAUUUCCCUGAUGCUUCAUGAGGUUCAGCAUUUUCACAUGCUUCCUGGCCAUUUGUAUGUUUUCUUUUAAACACUAGCUGUUCAUCUUCUUUUCCCAAUUUUUAGCGAGGUUACAUUUUUUUAUUGUUGAAUAGUUUGAGUUCCUUGUGGUUUAUGGAUAUUAGUCCAUUGUUUUCAAAUAUUUUCUCCCAUGGUGUAAACUGUUCACUGCAUUAUUGCGUUUACUGUGCAGAAAUUUUUAGUUUAAUUCUCAUUUGUUUAUUUUGUUUUUGUUGAACUUGCUUUUGAGGUCUUAGUCAUACAUCAUUUGCCUGGGCCAAAGCUUCUGAGUUGUCUUCAAGAUUUUAAUAGGCCAGUUGCAAUGGCUCAACCCUGUAAUCCCAGCACUUUGGGAGGCUGAGGUGGGUGGAUCAAGUGAAGUCAGGAGUUUGAGAGCAGACUGGCCAGCAUGGUGAGACCCCAUCUCUACUAAAAAUACAAAAAUUAGCUGGGCAUGGUGGUGCACGCCCGUCAUCCCAGCUACUCUGGAGACUGAGGCACAAGAAUUGCUUGAACUCAGGAGGUGGAGGUUGGAGUGAGCCAAGAUUGCACCACUGUACUCCAGCCUGGGUGACAGAGAGAACACAAAGAAAAUACACUUUUAAAAUAGUUUUUAGCUUUACAUUUAAGUUCUGUAUUCAUGUGCAUGAUGUGCAGGUUUGUUACAUAUAUAAUCAUGUGCCAUGGUGAUUUGCUGCACCUGUCAACCCAUCACCUAGGUAUUUAGCCUAGCGUGCACUAGCUAUUUUUCCUGAUGCUCUCCUUCCCUCACAUCCAUCCACCAACAGACCCCAAUGUAUUACCCUCCCUUUGUCUAUGUGUUCACAUUGUUCACCUCCCACUUAUAAGUGAGAACAUGCAGACUUUGGCUUUCUGUUCCUUUGUUACUUUGCUGAGGAUAAUGGUGUCCAGCUCCAUCCAUGUCCCUGCAAAGGACAUGACAUAAUUCCUAUUUAUGGUUGCAUAGUAUUCUAUGGUAUAUAUAUACUACAUUUUCUUCAUCCAAUCUAUUAUUGAUGGGCAUUUCUGUUGAUUCCAUCUUUUUGCUAUUGUGAAUAGUGCUACAAUGAACAUGCAAAUGCAUGUAUCUUAAGAAUAGAAUGACUUAUAUUUCUUUGGGUAUAUAUCCAGUAAUGGGAUUGCUAUGUCAAAAGGUAUUUCUGUUUCUAGGUCUUUUAGGAAUUGCCUCACUGUCUUCCACAAUGGUUGGACUAAUUUACAUUCCUACCAACAAUGUAAAAGUAUUCCUAUUUCUCUGCAGCCUUGCCAGCAUCUGUAGUUUCCAGGAGAUGACAUGAUCCUAUAUCUAGAAAACCCCUUCAUCUCAGCCCAAAAUCUUUUGAAGCUGAUAAGCAACUUCAGCAACAUCUCAGGAUAUGAAAUCAAUGUGCAAAAAAGUCACAAGCAUUCCUUUACACCAACAGCAGGCAAGCUGAGAGCCAAAUAAUGAAUGAACUCCCAUAUCACAAUUGCUACAAACAAUAAAAUAUCAAGGAAUACAGCUAACAAGAGAAUUAAAGGUCCUCUUCAAGGAGAACUACCAACGACUAUUCAAGGAAAUCACAGAGGACACAAACAAAUGGAGAAACAUUCCACGCUUGAGGAUAAGAAAAAUGAGUAUUGUGAAAAUAACCAUACUUCUCAAAGUAAUGUAUAGAUUCAAUGCUACUCCCAUUAAACUACCAUUGACAUUCUUCAGAUAAUUGGAAAACAUAUUUUAAAAUCAUAUGGAAGCCAAAAAGAGGCUGUAUAGCUAAGACAGUCCUAAGCAGAAAUAAAAAAGCUGGAGACAUCAUGCUACCCAAGUUCCAACUACACUACAAGGAUAUAGUAACCAAAACAGCAUGGUACUGGUACAAAAACAGACACAUACUCCAAUGGAACAGAAUAAAGAUUUCGGAAAUAAGACUGCACAUCUACAACCAUCUGAUCUUUGACAAACCUGACAAAAACAAGCAACGGGGAAAGGGUUCUCUGUUACUAAAUGGUGCUGGGAGAACUGGCUAGCCAUAUGCAGAAAAUUGAUAUAUUUAAGUUUUAAUCCAUUUUGAGUUAGGUUUUGUAUGUAGUGAGAGAUGUGGGUCUAGGUUCAUUCUUCUGCACUUGGCUAUUCUGUUUUCUUAGCACCAUUUAUUGAAUAGGGUGUCCUUUCCCCAUUGCAUAUAUUUGUCGACUUGAAUAUUAGUAGCUGUAUAUACGUGAUUUUAUUUCUGGGUCCUCAGUUUUGUUCCAUUGAUCCAUAUGUCUAUUUUUUAUAAUGGUGUCAUGCUGUUUCAGUUGCUACAGCCUUGUAGUAUAUGUGUGUGUGUGUGUGUGUACACACACACAUAUAUACACACACAUAUAUGUGUGUAUAUAAAUAUAUGUGUGUAUAUGUCUAUAUAUUAUAUGUAGAUUUUAUAUGUCUGUAUGUAAAUAUAUAUAUAAUAUAUUGGAGACUAGGUGGGGCAAAAUGAUGUAAUAAGCUCAAAAUAUAUAUAAUAUAUAUUAUAUAUUAUACAUAUAUAUGUAUUUUUUGAGAUAAGGUCUAGCUCUGUUACCCAGGUUAGAGUGCACUGGUGCAUUCUCAGCUCACUGCAAACUUUGCCUCCCAGGCUCAAGCCAUCCUCCCACCUCAGCCUCCCAAGUGGCUGGGACCACAGGCAUGCACCACCAUGCCCAGCUCAUUUUUGUAUUUUUUUUUUCUAGAGAUGGGGCCUCACUUUUUGCCCAGGUUGGUCUUGAACUCCUGAGCUCAAGUGAUCUGCCCACCUCAGCCUUCCAAAGUGCUGGGAUUACAGGUGUGAUCCACUGCAUCCAGAAACCUUGUAGCAUAAUUUGAUAUUUGGUAAUAUGCUGCCUCCAGUUUAGUUCUUUUUACUUAGAACUGUGUUAGCCAUUUGACUGUCUUUUUUGUUUUGUUUUGUUUUGUUGUUUGGUGCAUGUGAAUUUUAGAAUUGUUUUCUCUGUACCUGUGAAAGAUGACCUUGGUAUGUUAGUGGAAAUUUCAUUGAAUCUAUCGAUUGUUUUGGCAAUAUGGUCAUUUUAACAAUGUCGAUUCUUUAAAUCCAUUAACAUGAGAUGCUUUUCCAUUUGUUUGUGUCAUCUAUGAAUUCUUUUCCUCUAGGUUUUGUAGUUCUCCUUGCAGAGAUCUUUCAAUCCUUGAAUAACGUACUUACAGGCAUUUUUUGUUGUGGUUAUAGCUAUUAUAAAUGGGACUGACAUUGAUUUAGGGCUCAGCUUGAUUAUUACUGUUGAAUUGUUUCUAGUUUUAUUUCAAUGUUGUCAGCAAAAGUACUUGCUAUGAGUCCUACUUAUAUGAAUUUGUUGAGACUUGUUUUGCAGCCUAUGAUGUGGUCUAUUCUGGAGAAUGCUUUGUUUCCUAAUGGAAAGAACAUACAUUUAGCUACUGUUGGGUGAAUUGUAAAUGUCAAUUAUGCCUAUUUGGUCUAAUGUGUAGUUUUACUCCAAUAUUUAUUUUUUGAUUUCCUGUCAGAAUCAUCUGCUCAUUCCUGAGAGUGGGGACAUUAUAGCCCUCUAAUAUUGUUGUAUUGGAAUCUACCUCUCCCUUUAAAUUUAUUACUGUUUGCUUUAUACCCUUGGGAUCUCAAUGUUGGUUGCAAAGACCCUUAAAAUUGUUAUAGUCUCUUCUGAAUUGACCCCUUAAUUAUUAUAUAGUCACAUUCUUUGUCUCUUUGCACAGCCUUUGAUUUGUGGUCUACUUUAUCUAUAUAACUAUAGGUGUUCCUCCUCCUUUUCAGUUUCCAGUUCCACGGAAUAUAAUUUUCCAGCCUAUCACAUUCAGUCUGUAUGUGUCUUUGUAGGUGAUGUAGGUUUAUUGUAGGCAGCAUAUCACUGGGCCCUAUAUCUUUAUUCAGCCAAUCUAUGCUUUUUUAUUUUAUUUAAUUUAUUUUUUAUUUUUUUGAGACAGGGUCUUGCUCUGUCACACAUGCAGAAGUGCAGUGGCAUAAUGUCCACAUACUGCAGCCUCAAUCUCCUGGGCUCAAGCAGUCAUCCCACCCGAGCAUACUGAGUAGCUGGGACUACAGGCACAACUUCCACACCUGGCUAAUUUUUGUAUUUUUUGUAGUGACAGCAUUACAUCAUUUUGUCCCACCUAGUCUCCAACACCUGGGCUUAAGUAAUCUGCCUUCCUCAGCCUCCCAAAGUGUUGUGAUUACAGGUGUGAGUCACCAUACCCAGCCCACUCUAGGCAUUAUAAUUAAACAAUUGAGUCCAUUUGCUUUAAGUAUUAUAAUAGAUAAGUAAAAACUUCACUACUGCCAUUUUGUCAUGUAUUUUUCUUGUUUUGUAGCUCCUCUCUCUUCCCUUCCUUUUUUUUUGUGGUUAAAUAAAUUGCUCUGAUAUUAUGUCUUAAUUCAUUGCUUUUAAUUUUGGUAAAUCCCUUCUAGGUUUAUGCAUAGUAUUUACAAUGAGGCUUAAGACAACUUAUCACUGAUAACAAGCAAGACGUUAAAAAUACCCCAAAGAUGAAAAACAACCUCUUCAAUUUAACUGCAUUUCUCCUAACUUAAAAGUGUUUUCUCAUAUUUUUAUAUUGCCUAUAUCUUAACAGGUUGCUGUAGCUAUUAUUAUUUGAUUUUGAUAUAUUUGUCUUCUGACCUUUAUAGUUAUGAGUAGAUUUUGAUAUAGUUGUCUUCUGGUCUUUAUAGAGUUGUGAGUGGAUUGUCCACUGGAAUGAUAGUAUUAUUUAGAGUAUUUGGUAUUGGUUUGUGUUAUAAUAAUUUUAACAGUGGGUUUUAUAUCUGCAAAUAUUUUCUUGUUGCAAGUUAGUGUUUUUUUUCUUUCAGAUUGAAGCACUCCCUUUAGCAUUUCUUGUAAGAUGAGCCUGAUAUGGGUGAAUUAUCACAUUCUGGUGGUGCUAAAUUCUCUCUUGUUUUUUUUCUUCUUGAUCUGGGGAAGACUUUUUCUUUCAAAUUUAAAUUACAGUUUUGCUGAAUACAGUAUUCUUUAAUUGCAUUUUUUGUCUUUCAUCACUUUAAAAACAUUCCUUCCUGGCCCAUGGUUUCCAUUGAGAAAUCUGUUGCCAGAUGAACUGAAAUUCCUUUUCUUUUCUGGGACAGAGUUUCACUCUGUUGCCCAGGCUGGAGUGCAGUGGCACAAUCUCACUUCACUGAAAUAUCCACCUCCCAGGCUGAUGUGAUACUCAUGCCUCAGCCUCCUGAGCAGCUAAGAUUACAGGCGUAUGUCAACACACCCAACUAACUUUCAUACUUUUUAGUAGAAAUGGGGUUUCACUAUGUUGGCCAGGCUGGUCUUGAACUCCUGGCCUCUAGUGAGCCACCUGCCUUGACCUCCCAAAGUGCUGGGAUUACAGGCAUGAGCCACUGUGCCCAACCAAAAUUCCCUUUUAUGUUAUUUGCUUCUGUUGUCUUACUUCUUGAGGGAUUCGCUGUCCUUGACCUUUGAGAAUUUGAUUAUUAUUUGCAUGGGGAUAGUCUUAUUUUGAUUGAAUUGGUUUGGUGAUCUCUGACCUUCCUGUACCUGAAUAUUUAUCUUUGUCACAUUUUGAAAACUUUUCUGUUAUUAUCUGAAUAAGUUUUCUACCUCUACCUCCUUCUCAAUUCCCUGUUGAACCAUAAUAAUUCUUAGAAUUCAUUUUGAGCUAAUUUUCUGUCUUUUAAGGGAUCUUCAUUUCUUUUCAUUUUUUCUUCUUUGUGUAUUUUCAGGUAGCCUGUUUUUAAGCUCACUGAUUCUUUGCUCAGCUUGCUUUAUGCUGUUAAUAUCCUCUAGUAAGUUUUUCAGUACAACAAAUGUAUUUCUUAGUUUCAAGAUUUCUGUUUGACUUUUAAAUUAUUUCCAUCUUUUUAUUAACUUUCUCUAAUUGUUGUUAUUUUUCUGUGUUAUCUUGGACUACAUUCCCUUAAAACUGUUAUUUUGAAUUAAUUUUUUUUCUCUUUCUUUCUCCCAUCAACUUUAUAGUCAUAAAAGAUAAUAUUUUGAAUUCUUGGUCAAAGAGUUCACAUAUCCUGUCCCAUUAGGUGUAGUCGUUGCUUUCUUGCUUUGUAUGGGAAGGUCAUGGUUCCUUUUUGCUGUCAUUUCUUAUUGAUAUACAUCUAUGUUAUUGCCGGGAAGGAGUAGUUAUUUAAUCCAAUCUUAGAUAUGUUUGCUUAGAGAUUCUUUGUAAUUUACCUGUUGGUCAUCUUUCUUUUCCCCCUCAAUGUUAACUGAUUCCUUUUUGGCCAGAUGGUACAUUAAGUCCUGUCAUGCCAUGUUUCUAGUAAACAAUCAGACUGUCACCCAUAACAAAUUAGGAGACGCCUAAAAGGAUAUUUCAUUAGUGUCAGAAGGCUGGCUCAGUGUUUGUGCCCAGGGGACCUGGGCAACAAAUAUCUUAUAGCGUGAUCCUUCUGACAGCAGAGUUACAGCAGGCCUGUGGAUGGUAGUCCCACCUUCUCCCCUUUUCUCUGGCUUUCCUCAAGGAAUGUCUCCCUUCAUACACUUCUGAUGCUUUCUAUGGGUUGAGGUAGGAAGAGGUCUCCUGCCAGAGAACCCAAGAUGGUUAUCCACUUCAAUCUCAAUUUUUGCAGUAAAGACUGCAAAAUAUGAGUCAUGAAGAAAUUUUCUGUAUGCUUAAGUGGUGCCAGGCAGAUUUGGGGAGGCGCCUUAUACAUAUGGAAGGCCAAUUCUUUUACCAUCUGCUUGAAAUUUUUUUACUUGUCUGUGGUCUGGCAAACUGUUUCAUCUUUAUAUUUGAGUUCUAAGAUAAUGCUGGUGAUAAUCUGGCUGGUAUAUAUUUCUUCUUGGUUUUCUUUGGGGGAUGGGGAGUAAAGUCAGCUUGCUGCUACCAGUAUAUGAAUUUUGAUCAAGCUUGUCCAACCCAUGGCCCACAGGCUGCAUGUGGCUCUGAAUGGCCCAACACAAAUCUGUAACCUUUCUUAAAACAUUAUGAGAUUUAUGCACAGAACUUUUUAAAAUUAUUUUAUUUUUAGUUAAUCAGCUAUCAUUAGCGUUCAUGUGUUUUAUGUGUGUCCCAAGACAAUUGUUCUUUCAGUGUGGUCCAAGGCAGCUAAAAGAUUGGACACACCUAAUGAUGGUUGGUCUGUAUUGUGGCCAAUGGAGAUGCUGCACCAAAGAGAUUGACCAACAGCAUCACACUUGAGGAAACAUGAUCCACAGGUCUUACAGGGUUGACUUCUUACCCAGCUACCCACGUAAUCAAUAAGCUCUGAUUGUCGACUGAUUCUAAUCAGGUGCUAAGCCAGCAUCAGAGGUCAUAGAAUUGUAACUUGGUUUGCAUUAAGCAUGGUUGUCAUGGACUUGAGGUUCACUUAGUGCUGUGAUGGCAGCAGUCAUCAAGUGUGGGGGUCUGUUCUGCAGACCCUGACCUAAUGAUGUAUGAGUAAAGUACACUGACACAUAGUUAUCCUGCUUUGCCUGUUCAGCUGAGCAUCUGGACCACUUAGUUGCAGUGUGGCCUCGAUCAAUCAAUGAGACUUGCAUUUAUUCAGUAAAGAUUAAUUGACAAAGUUCAUGAGUAAACACCACUAGAGGAUAAUUGACCUAGUCACCCCUACCCCAGAGAGAGCAAUCAUGCACCCAUGAAUGAUCAAAGGUUAGUCUUAAGACGACAUGAGUAAACAAGCUAGUUAGAUAAACUCCCCACAUUCCUUUGUACUCACUUUAAGCUAUUUACUUAAGGUAAGGAUCAGGUUCGCUUCAGCCAUAACAGUUACUAAAGCUCUGCAAACUUUUCAGCCUUCCACGAAGGUUUAGGGCUAUUACUAUCUUUAAUAUUUUUCCCACCAACCUGAUUGAACCCCUACAGUCAAGAACUUAGGGACACAACAGAUAGUGUGUUCAGAAUAUAUGGACAGGCCUGCUAGGAAAAAGAUGGUCACAGACAAAACUAUAGUUUUAAGACUGGAAUAAAUACCCACUUCCUCAACAAACAGACAUUGAUGCACAACCACAUGAAUCAAAAAUAAUCAGAGAAGCAGGAUGUGGUGGUUCAUGCCUAUAAUCCGAGCACUUUGGGAGGCUGAGGUGGGCAGAUCAUUUGAGGUCAGGAGUUCGAGACCAGCCUGACCAACAUGGUGAAACCCUGUCUCUACUAAAAAUACAAAAAAAUUAGCCAGGUGUGGUGGCAUAUAUCUGCAGUCCCAGCUGCUUGGGAGGCUGAGGCAGGAAAAUCACUUGAACCCAGGAGGCGGAGGUUGCAGUGAGCUGAGAUUGCACCACUGCGCUCCAGCCUGGGCCAUAUAGUGAGACUCUGUCUAAAAAAAAUAAAAUAACAGAGACAUGACAUGCACCAAAUGGACAAAAUAAAAUGCAGUUGCUAAAUAUAUAUGAUUAGCCUAACAAAGAAUUCAGACCAGGAAGAACUGUGUUGCUUUUUUCUAUUUGUUUUUUUGAGAUGAAUUCUCACUCUGUCGCCCAGGCUGGAAUGCAGUGGCAUGAUCUCAGCGAAGACACAUGUUUUAAGGCAG